Small nucleolar RNA from Nannospalax galili (Upper Galilee mountains blind mole rat), 107 nucleotides. RefSeq annotates it as small nucleolar RNA U13. The transcript has a single exon. Lineage: Eukaryota; Metazoa; Chordata; Mammalia; Rodentia; Spalacidae. The record is from RefSeq and is a predicted model, not a curated record.
UUCUUUUUUUGGUUCAUACUCAUGAUGAUUGGAUGUGCAUGCCAUUGUGUGACUGGUGCCUCCCACAAACCUUUUUACCACAUAGACACAUUACCCAUCUUGUGAAA